This 460-nucleotide ribosomal RNA is filed under the name uncultured bacterium. RNAcentral's name for it is "partial 16S ribosomal RNA". It matches the Rfam family "Bacterial small subunit ribosomal RNA", at positions 338 to 795 of the family's 1533-position model. The record is from RNAcentral.
CCUACGGGGGGCAGCAGUGAGGAAUAUUGGUCAAUGGCCGGAAGGCUGAACCAGCCAAGUCGCGUGAGGGAAUAAGGCCCUAUGGGUCGUAAACCUCUUUUGUCAGGGAGCAAAGGCGUCCACGUGUGGACGAGAGGAGAGUACCUGAAGAAAAAGCAUCGGCUAACUCCGUGCCAGCAGCCGCUGUAAAACGGAAGAUGCGAGCGUUAUCCGGAUUUAUUGGGUUUAAAGGGUGCGUAGGCGGAUUUUUAAGUCAGCGGUAAAAUGUCCGGGCUCAACCCGGGCCGGCCGUUGAAACUGGGGAUCUUGAGUGGGCGAGAAGUAUGCGGAAUGCGUGGUGUAGCGGUGAAAUGCAUAGAUAUCACGCAGAACUCCGAUUGCGAAGGCAGCAUACCGGCGCCCGACUGACGCUGAGGCACGAAAGCGUGGGGAUCGAACAGGAUUAGAUACCCCAGUAGUC